Molecule: unclassified non-coding RNA, 401 nt
Filed under: soil metagenome
Description: partial contains 5.8S ribosomal RNA, internal transcribed spacer 2, and large subunit ribosomal RNA
Rfam family: 5.8S ribosomal RNA (bases 1-121)
Source: RNAcentral
GAUGAAGAACGUAGCGAAAUGCGAUAAGUAAUGUGAAUUGCAGAAUUCAGUGAAUCAUCGAAUCUUUGAACGCACCUUGCGCCCUUUGGCUAUUCUGAAGGGCAUGCCUGUUUGAGUAUCAUGAACACCUCAACUCUCAUGGUUCGCCAUGAUGAGCUUGGACUUUGGGGGUCUUGCUGGCCUACGGUCGGCUCCUCUCAAAUGAAUCAGCUUGCCAGUGUUUGGUAGAGUCGCAGGUGUGAUAACUAUCUACGCUUGUGGUUUUCUGCCAGAUAACCUUCAGUGAUGGAGGUUCGCUGGAGCUUAUAAAUGUCUCUCCCCAGUGAGGACAGCUUUUUGAACGUUUGAUCUCAAAUCAGGUAGGACUACCCGCUGAACUUAAGCAUAUCAAUAAGCGGAGA